GCUCAGAACGAACGCCGGCGGCGUGGAUAAGACAUGCAAGUCGAGUGCUAAUUUCAGGGUAGCAAUAUUCUGGAGUUGGAGUGGCGCAAGGGUGCGUAACACGUGGGUAAUCUGCCAUGAAGUUCGGGAUAACUUGCUGAACGGCGAGUUAAUACCGGAUGUGACAACCGAGAGGCAUCUUUUGGUUGUUAACGUUGGGGACCGUAAGGCCUGACGCUUCUUGAUGAACCAGCGGCCUAUCAGCUAGUUGGUGAGGUAACGGCUCACCAAGGCUAACAGGAUUAGCUGGUCUGAGAGGACGACCAGGGACCCUGGAACUGAGACACGGUCCAGACACCUACGGGUGGCAGCAGUCGAGAAUUUUUCACAAUGGGCGAACGCCUGAUGGAGUGACGCCGCGUGGGGGAUGAAUGGCUUCGGCCAGUAACCACCUGUCAUUCGCGAUCAACCAUUAUUAUUUAACAGAUGAUGAGCUGAUAGUAGCGGAAGAGGAAGGGACGGCUAACUCUGUGCCAGCAGCCGCGGUAAUACAGAGGUCCAAAGCGUUGUUCGGAUUCACUGGGCGUAACGGGUGCGUAGGUGGUGAGGUAAGUCGGAUGUGAACGCUCGGAGUUCAACUCCGAACUGGCAUUGGAACCUACCUUGCUCGAGGGUUGGAGGGGGGACUGGAAUACUUGGUGUAGCAGUGAACUGCGUAGAUAUCAAGUGGAACACCAGUGGCGAAGGCGAGUCCAUGGACAACUCCUGACACUGAGGCACGAACGCUAGGGGAGUAACCAGGAUUAGAUACCAUGGUAGUCCUAGCCGUAACCGGUGCACGUUUGCUGUAACAG
RNAcentral lists this ribosomal RNA (833 nucleotides) under uncultured bacterium. Its description in RNAcentral is "bacterial SSU rRNA". It matches the Rfam family "Bacterial small subunit ribosomal RNA", at positions 22 to 828 of the family's 1533-position model. The record is from RNAcentral.